CCUACGGGUGGCUGCUGUGAGGAAUUUUUGUCAAUGGGCGAGAUCCUGAACCAGCCAAGCCGCGUGAGGGAAGACGGCCCUAUGGGUUGUAAACCUCUUUUGUCGGAGAACAAAAACUGGGACGUGUCACGGCCUUCGUGUAUCCGUACAAUAAGAAUAGGCUACCUCCGUGCCAGCAGCCGCGGUCAUACGGAGGAUGCGAGCGUUAUCCGGAUUUAUUGGGUUUAAACGGUGCGUAGGCGGUCCAUUAAGUCAGCGGUAAAAUGGAGGGGCUAAACCCCGGCGAGCCGUUGAAACUGGAAGACUAGAGUUGGCGAGAAGGACGUGGAAUGCGAGGUGGAGCGGUGAAAUGCAUAGAUAUCGCGCAGAACUCCAGUUGCGAAGGC
Molecule: ribosomal RNA, 386 nt
Filed under: uncultured bacterium
Lineage: Bacteria
Description: partial 16S ribosomal RNA
Rfam family: Bacterial small subunit ribosomal RNA
Source: RNAcentral